RNAcentral lists this long non-coding RNA (354 nucleotides) under Rattus norvegicus (Norway rat). Its description in RNAcentral is "long non-coding RNA NONRATT002617". Lineage: Eukaryota; Metazoa; Chordata; Mammalia; Rodentia; Muridae. The record is from RNAcentral.
GCAUUUAGCUGUUUUCCCCCGGCGCUUCAGUGUGGAGCUUAUUCCUUGGUGUCUCGGUUAUCGUACGAAUUAGCUGAAGCGAGGAUGCCUGCGCAUGCCUUCAUCUGAUAGGCGGAUCGAAAGUCUGGGUUCUACACAGUAAUGGGACGGAGCGUGCUUACCAAAAGCAGCCUACAAUCUUUCAAAACAAGAAACGUGUUUUGCUGGGAGAAACUGGCAAGGAAAAACUCCCUCGGUACUACAAAAACAUCGGUCUAGGCUUCAAGACGCCCAAGGAGGCCAUCGAGGGCACCUACAUAGACAAGAAAUGCCCCUUCACUGGUAAUGUCUCCAUCCGAGGACGGAUCCUGUCUG